This 1423-nucleotide long non-coding RNA is filed under the name Calidris pugnax (ruff). RNAcentral's name for it is "lncRNA (ENSCPUG00000008299.1)". The record is from RNAcentral. Lineage: Eukaryota; Metazoa; Chordata; Aves; Charadriiformes; Scolopacidae.
AAAAAAAACCCCAACCAGGAAAACUAUGAAAGAUUCAUUUUAAUGGAAUCCAGGUUUAGCUGUUUCAUAUUUAAUAAUGUUUAAUAUUUCAUUUACUACUGGGGACUCACCUUUUUCAGAAGAAUGUAAGAUUCGAGGCACUAUCAGGCAUUAAGAUUUUAUGUCUGACUGUAGCAAUAUUGUAAGGGUUGGCAUUGCGGCUGCUGGAGCCCGAUGCAGAGAGCCUGGAAGCAGCAAGGUUUCCUUCUUUUUUUUCCAAAAGAGGCGCCGGAGCCCCGGAAAGCGGUGGGGUAGAGCUGUGAAUCCUAGCAACAGGAGGAGAGAGAGAACUGUACGUUUCUUCACGUCCUCCAAGCGCUGGUGCCUUCUGGUACAUCAUUUACAGGGAGCAACAGAGACCUUGGAAAGGCCCUUCAUGCCGUUACAUCAAGAAAGGGACAGUUUUCCCAGCAGGACAGGAGAAAACCCCCGCGGAACCAGCCAGCACAUGUUUCGUGGCAAGAUCAGGGCCUCAGACACCACAAACUCUUCCUUUUUGGGCUCAAGAUCCUGAGAAGCUGCGGAAAAUUUGGGCAGAAGCAGAUCCUCUCAGCGUUGCACGGGACAGCAGACGUGACCUGCUCGGGGAUGUGGAGACACCUGGCACGGGGUCCUCAGUCUGGUCGGAUGGGAUGGAACAGGUGACCAUCAUGCUCUUGUAUUUUUUAACUUUGGGAAAAAAGGAAAUUUUUCUUUGGGAGUUAUGGGAGCUCUUGGCUGGCUGUAUCAGAAAAGUUUCCUUGGAUCUCUUCCACUUCAUGCCAGGAUAUUGUUCAGUCUAAUGACCAGCUUGAGAGAAAUGUUUCCACUUUCUAGAGUGGAGUGAUUUACUACCUUACCUCUCCCAGCAUUUCCAUAGAGGUGAAUUCCACACAUUUUUAAACCUGUAGUCAGAAUUUGUGCUCCAGGAUCCUUUUAAAGCCAGGCUCAGCGAUACUACGUACCAUUAGCAGUGGAUCCCUCUGAGAAAGGAGAAUGGGAUUUUCCCCCACUGUGAUCAGCACUGUCUUUUCUGCUUUAUUUUCCUUCUGGGCUGUCCUCACCCCUUUGUUUCCUCUCUGGGAUGGCAUCAUUCCUCCCCUCUGAGGCCGAGCUGCCGCGCAGCCUCUGUGCAGCAUCUGAGAGGGUACGAGGCGGUAGUGGAAGUGCUGGAGUGUCCCGGCACUAAUCACAUAUUAUCACCUUACGAUAAUUAUCCAAGCUGAUUCUGAAUGAAUCCUCUUUGGAGAAGGUCCUUGGCCUGCCCUCUGCUUGGCAGAAUGCCCGAGGUGCCACUGGCACGAACACAUGAAGACUGGUGAAAUCCAAAGUGCCGUAUUACGUUGCAGGAAGCAGCCAGCCAGGUGUUACCACCAAGACAUAAUAAAUUCCUGUUGGUACGGCA